Molecule: ribosomal RNA, 509 nt
Filed under: Neurigona lineata
Lineage: Eukaryota; Metazoa; Arthropoda; Insecta; Diptera; Dolichopodidae
Description: partial 16S ribosomal RNA
Rfam family: Bacterial large subunit ribosomal RNA
Source: RNAcentral
GUCUUUUUGAAUUUUAUUUAAAGUCUAAUCUGCCCACUGAUUAAAUUAAAUGGCCGCAGUAUUCUAACUGUGCAAAGGUAGCAUAAUCAUUAGUUUUUUAAUUGAAAGCUUGUAUGAAUGAUUGGACGAGAUAUUAGCUGUCUUAUUUAAAAAUUUUGAAUUUUAUUUUUUAGUUAAAAAGCUAAAAUGUUUUUAAAAGACGAGAAGACCCUAUAGAUCUUUAUAAUUUAUUUUAUAUUAUUUUUUUUGGUUUUAUUAUAAUAUUAUAAAAUAGAUUAUUUUGUUGGGGUGACAGCGAAAUUUAUUUAACUUUUGUUAUUUUUUAACAUAAAUUAAUGAAUUUUUGAUCCUUUAAUAUAGAUUAAAAAUUUAAGUUACCUUAGGGAUAACAGCGUAAUUAUUUUGGAGAGUUCUUAUCAAUAAAAUAGGUUGCGACCUCGAUGUUGGAUUAAGAUUAAUUUUUGGUGCAGAAGCUAAAAAUAUUAAGUCUGUUCGACUUUUAAUUUCUU